UUUUACCAUUCUCUUAUUUAUUUAUUUAUUUAUGUUUUAAAGAUUUCAUUUUUUCCUUCUUCUCCCCAAAGUCCCCCGGUACAUAGUUGUAUGUUCUUCGUUGUGGGUCCUUCAUAGUUGUGGCAUGUGGGACACUGCCUCAGCGUGGUUCGAUGAGUCAUGCCAUGUCGGCACCCAGGAUUCGAACCAACGAAACACUGGGCCACAUGCAGCGGAGCGCGUGACCUUAACCACUCGCCCACGGGGCCAGCCCCUACCAUUCUCUUUCUACGAUUUCUUUUUACUUUUUGACAUCUGUUUCUACACUACUUCUGGACUGAGACAAAACAGUCACCUCAAACUCAUGAUGACUCAAUUUUUUUUCCCUUGAAAAAUCUCAAGUAACAUUUAGAAGUUAGUGAUUAUUCUUUACAGACACGUUUGUGUCUUCAAAGAGCACCACUGAAGGCACAAACCAAGUUUUCUUUCAACCAAUAAGUAAUUUUUAUUUCAAGGGUUCGAUGUCCACAUCAAAUAAUCAUCUAUUGAUGUGGAUGUGUGUGUGUAAUAGUUAAGAAUGUGACCUAAAUUACCUUCGUCAAGUCUGGCUCAAAACUGGUGUGACUUUGGGCAAAUUACCUAACCUUUCUUUGUCUUCUUCUUCUCAUCUUUAAAAUGGCAAAAAACAAUAGUACCUAUCUCAGAGGGUUCCUGGGAAGAUGAAUCAAGUCAAUACCCGGAAAGUACAUGGAAUGGUGCCUGGUUCAGAGAUUCUCUUGGUAAACAUGUGGCAAACGUCCAAUGACUCUAACUUUCUAAAUUUGAGAAAUGAUUUUUCAAAGAGCAUUUCUAGCACCCGAGUAAGCAGACUCCUGAAUCCAGGGCUUCUUGGAGAAAUGGCUGAUUCCAGGUUUUGGGGCAGGAUAUGCACAAAAUCAGUCAACUUGUUUUGUCCAAUUCAAGGAAGUCAUCAGGGACCACCAGGGCCAGAGACUACCAGGAACCAACCUGGAAAGACCAACUCACUGGCCAAAGAUUGGAAAAUUGGAGGUUUAGUAAUGAUUUUAAUUGCCACGAGGCAAGCCCCAUCAAAUAUAUUUAAAUUGCUAAAUUCAUAAUUAAAAAAAUAAUUGGUCAUUUUUGGAAGAUGAUAGAGAAUCAAUUCAUUGUCUUGAAAACUGGCUUUUAAAAAAAGGGAAGAACCAAGCGUUUAUUCUGUCUUUCUCAUAUGAACUGUCCUACUGGGUAACAAAUAGUAGUUGAGAAGCAUGUCUUCAUAAAGAGUAUUCCAAUAAAGAAAUAAAAAGAACUGACAUAAUUAUAAUAUCACCAUUUUGCAAUACACGUGGAAUAUAGAUCUAGGCAUUGAGCUGCUGUCACAAGAGAGAAAACCAGACUCGAUGUGCUUCCUGAUGAAAGAAUACACCACCACCUGUGGUCUCGCCAAAGGGGUCAAAUCUGAGACUGAUCACGGCCCUGGAUCCAGCUGCCAAUUUGCAGGAAGAGUGGGCAGAGAGCUUGGUGAUCUGCACCGUGAAUAUGCAAUCGACAAUAUCCAGACUGGGGGAAGCUCUACAGGCUAAAUAAAUAGCCUGUGUUCUUCCACAGAUACACUGAAAAGAAGAAGGGAAUGGAAAGGGACACUGGAGGUUGAAAAUGACUUAACAGGUGUUGAAUUUUUUUAAAAAUUGGGUAAGACUGAAGUACAGACAAUGUCUGGGCUUGUGUUGGUGAUAACACUAUAAAAUGCAAUGAAGCAAUUACUGUAAAGGCAAGAGAGUGGUUUCUUUGUGAGGAGAGGGGUGGCUGUGUUUGGGAUGGGCCACAUGGAGGGGUUUCUGGGUGACCGGCAAAGCUAUAUUUCUUGACUCAGGUAAGGGUUUCAAGGGCAUCGUAUUAGUUUCCUAUUGUUUCUGUAAGAAAUUACCAAAGAAUUAAUGGCUUAAAACACCAAAAUUUAUUACCUGACAGUUCUGUAGGUCAGAAGUCCAGGUGAGCUUGCCUGGAUUUUCUGCUGUGGGUCUCACAAGGCGGAAAUCAAGUUCUUGGGCAGCUGGGCUCUGAUCUGGAGGCUUUAUGCUCAUUCAGGCGGUUGGCUGAAUUCAGUUCCUUGUGGCUGCAGGGCUGAGGAUCCUGUUCCUUGCUGGCUGUCAGCCAGGAGCCUCUCUCAGCUUCUUAAGACUACCCACAUUCCUUUUACAUUGUCCGCUCCGUCUUCAACGGCAGCAGGCAGCAGUGGGUUGAGUCCUUUCUGUGCUUUGAAUCUCUCUGAUUUCUCCUUCUGCUGCAACUCUUUUGCUUUCCUCUUCUGUUUCUAAGGGCUUAUGUGAUUACAUUGGUCCCACCUUGAUAAUCCAGGAUAAGUUCCCUAUUUUAAGGUCAGCUGAUGAGUAAACUUAAUUCCGUCUCAAAGUCCCUUCACAGCAACGCCUAGACUGGUGUUUGACUGAAUAACUAGGCGACCAGAAUCCUGGGAGGACAUCUUUAGAAUUCUCCCGACCACAGGUGUUUUUACCUUACACAUUUGUUUCCUAUUGUUUUAUAUAUUUGUAUUUUAUUUUACAAAUAUAAAAGCUAAAAAAUCAUUGAGACAUGCAAACAGGUGCCUUCUUGUGAUAUUUGAAAGACAUUUAUCAAAGAUGCUUACCUUUUUUUAGGGAAAAAAAAAACCCAAACAAAAAAUGAUUUCUUUCCUUAGCUGAAAUAAUUUGUACUUUCACCUUGUCUGAGGAUCGUAAAAAUUGUAGGUAUAAAAAAAGUAAAUUUCUGGAAUUUGCUGCUUUUAUUACUGUAAGUAACUCUAGAACAUUUGCAAUAAAAGGUUAUGUUUUAAUAAAAUUCACAAAUCGUAUGGAGUUAUUUGGCAUGGUUGUAAAGGUACACACUUUAUAGUAGGUUCCAGAUUCGUGGGAUAUGCCUGCAUGAAUCCAUUUUGGCAAUAGCUUUUAUAAGAGUUGAUACUUCUUUGUUUUUUCUGUCAUUUCAUAGCUAUUUUGGGGGAUAGCUGUCAUUGCAUUUUUGCUAACUUAAUUGAUAGUAUACCAAAAUUGAUCUACACCAUGGGCGGGCAAACUUUUCCUGUAAAAAAGCCACACAGUAAAUAUUUUCAGUUUUGUAGGCCAUAUCGUCUCUGUUGCAGACAUUCAAAUCUCAUUGUAGCCCAAAAGAACACAGAGAACACAUAAAUUAAUAGGCAUGGCUGGAUCUGGCCCAUGAACCAUGGUUUGUAG
Molecule: long non-coding RNA, 3209 nt
Organism: Equus caballus (horse)
Lineage: Eukaryota; Metazoa; Chordata; Mammalia; Perissodactyla; Equidae
Source: Ensembl